UUUAACUCUGUCGCAGUGUAGUAGUGUCAUUUCUAGUCCAAGUAUCUCAUCGGACUUAAAAUAAGACAGAAUCAACUAAAGAGGAACUUUUCAGUGAGAUAUAAGAACUGAUUUUAGACAAAAGAUCUGGAAAAUGUUAUUUCAACAAAUCUGGACAAGAUCAUUUUCACU
Sphaeramia orbicularis (orbiculate cardinalfish) is the source of this 171-nucleotide long non-coding RNA. RefSeq lists it as uncharacterized. The record is from RefSeq and is a predicted model, not a curated record. Lineage: Eukaryota; Metazoa; Chordata; Actinopteri; Kurtiformes; Apogonidae. The transcript has 4 exons.